Non-coding RNA from Potamilus streckersoni, 73 nucleotides. NCBI's taxonomy places the organism in Eukaryota, Metazoa, Mollusca, Bivalvia, Unionida, Unionidae. The record is from the annotation of a GenBank genome assembly.
GCUCCGGUGGCCUAGUGGUUAUAGCGUCCGCCUCGGAUGCCGGAGGACAUGGGUUCGAUCGCCGAUCGAGUCA